This 465-nucleotide ribosomal RNA is filed under the name uncultured bacterium. RNAcentral's name for it is "partial 16S ribosomal RNA". It matches the Rfam family "Bacterial small subunit ribosomal RNA", at positions 338 to 795 of the family's 1533-position model. The record is from RNAcentral.
CCUACGGGUGACAGCAGUAGGGAAUCUUCCACAAUGGGCGAAAGCCUGAUGGAGCAACGCCGCGUGGGUGAAGAAGGUCUUCGGAUCGUAAAACACUGUUGUUAGAGAAGAAAGUGCGUGAGAGGAACUGUUCACGUUUCGACGGUACCUAACCAGAAAGCCACGGCUAACUACGUGCCAGCAGCCGCGGUAAUACGUAGGUGGCAAGCGUUAUCCGGAUUUAUUGGGCGUAAAGGGAACGCAGGCGGUCUUUUAAGUCUGAUGUGAAAGCCUUCGGCUUAACCGGAGUAGUGCAUUGGAAACUGGGAGGCUUGAGUGCAGAAGAGGGGAGUAGAACUCCAUGUGUAGCGGUGAAAUGCGUAGAUAUAUGGAGGAACACCAGUGGCGAAAGCGGCUCUCUGGUCUGUAACUGACGCUGAGGUUCGAAAGCGUGGGUAGCAAACAGGAUUAGAUACCCCUGUAGUC